Molecule: long non-coding RNA, 402 nt
Filed under: Nicotiana benthamiana
Lineage: Eukaryota; Viridiplantae; Streptophyta; Magnoliopsida; Solanales; Solanaceae
Description: long non-coding RNA (NBEN_LNC007816)
Source: RNAcentral
GAUCCACAAUGGAUCCUAACUCCUAAAAUUAGGCUAACAGGUUGGUUAGGGGUGUGCCAGCACUCCCAAUUGCUGGGCAUGGCCACCAGCCUGCUAUGGCUUUCCCUAAUUCCCUCUUUAUGCACUUGCACUUACUCUUAGACCCUAAGUUCUACCCUCUCUUAUGAGCCUUGCUUUGGGACCUUGAGUUCCUUCUUAUCUUGAACAUUUGAGGGCUGGCCUUUCCACACUGCACUAUGAUCUAAUUCUGUAAUGUAUUUCGGGUGUAAGUACUGCUCGGAGCCCUUUGAGACUAUUGGGAACUUUAAGAUAUCCCAAAUAAGAGAAAGGCUUUUGGAAAUCUGAUAUUGGAAGUUGGUUUAUCUCAUAUCGUUAGACCUUGUGUAUGAAUUAUGGUGUUUG